RNAcentral lists this ribosomal RNA (292 nucleotides) under uncultured Bacteroidota bacterium. Its description in RNAcentral is "uncultured Bacteroidetes bacterium partial 16S ribosomal RNA". Lineage: Bacteria; Pseudomonadati; Bacteroidota. The record is from RNAcentral.
GGACUACUAGGGUAUCUAAUCCUGUUUGAUACCCACACUUUCGUGCUUCAGUGUCAGUUGUGGCCUGGCAAGCUGCCUGCGCUAUCGGAGUUCUUCGUAAUAUCUAAGCAUUUCACCGCUACACUACGAAUUCCGCCUGCCUCGUUCACACUCAAGAUAACCAGUUUCAACGGCAAUGUCAAAGUUAAGCUCUAACCUUUCACCGCUGACUUAAUCACCAACCUACGCACCCUUUAAACCCAAUAAAUCCGGAUAACGCUCGCAUCCUCCGUAUUACCGCGGCGGCUGGCAC